CGUUAUGGCAGCUGUACGCGGGAGAUCUUCGGAUCUACCGGACACCGUCACGGUCUUGCACACCCGCGUACUGCUGCCACCCUA
RNAcentral lists this non-coding RNA (84 nucleotides) under Pseudomonas [fluorescens] SBW25. Lineage: Bacteria; Pseudomonadati; Pseudomonadota; Gammaproteobacteria; Pseudomonadales; Pseudomonadaceae. The record is from RNAcentral.